This 282-nucleotide ribosomal RNA is filed under the name Triticum aestivum (bread wheat). RNAcentral's name for it is "partial small subunit ribosomal RNA". Lineage: Eukaryota; Viridiplantae; Streptophyta; Magnoliopsida; Poales; Poaceae. The record is from RNAcentral.
CAUCCAGACCUGGAUCUCCUUUCUCUAUUUCUUCUUCCUGCUUUCAUCUUCACAUGCGAUACACCCCAUCGCGCCCGAACUGCUAACGCCCAAUGCGGAGCCCCUGCCGCCACCACCUCCCCUCGGCUCCAUUCAGGGCCAGACGCCCUUGCCGCCUCCGCCGGCCACUGGGGUUCCUCCACUGCCCGGCUCCGGCGGCGCCUCCACCGCCGGCCGGCGAGCCUCCAUGAGCCCCUUCUAGGCCUGCAAGUCACAGGUAACUUGCAACCCCAGAUCCCCUAA